UGAGUUAAGUGAUCAUCUUAUAGCACCAUCCAAAUUAAAAUUAUAAGCAACAAGUGUUUGUGUGAAGCAACAGAAUAUGUUGCGCAAAUUGUGUAUAUUAGUGCUAUCAGCAUGUUUUGUUAAGUGCAGUUAUGAUGAAGGUCAUUACACCAUCGUUGCACCAAGAUACAUUCGAGCCAAUUCUGAGUACCAUGUCUCAGCUUCGGUACACGACGCAAUUGAGCCGAGAACCAUUCGAUUGACCGUGAAAAAUGAUCGAGGCUUCAGAGACUCGAAAGAAGUUACUGUUCCACCAUACACCACUAAAAUGGUGCAGUUCAGCACUGGUGACCUGCAACAGGGUAAUUAUUCAUUUGUCGCUGAAGGUGUG
Long non-coding RNA from Bradysia coprophila, 370 nucleotides. NCBI's taxonomy places the organism in Eukaryota, Metazoa, Arthropoda, Insecta, Diptera, Sciaridae. The record is from RefSeq and is a predicted model, not a curated record.